This 695-nucleotide long non-coding RNA is filed under the name Homo sapiens (human). RNAcentral's name for it is "HSALNT0312618". Lineage: Eukaryota; Metazoa; Chordata; Mammalia; Primates; Hominidae. The record is from RNAcentral.
GCUCAAGUUGGGAGGCGUUACCUGCGGAGGGUUUGAGGCACGCCCAGGAGCGAGCCCACGGUCGGCCGACGCGGGGCCAGGGGCGGGCCCCAGGAUCCGGAGCUUCGGGCGGGGCCGAGUCUGGGUUUGGGGCCCGGGAGGCGGGGCCAGUUAGGGCGAGGGUCCCUGGGAUCGUCGGGUCAGGCCUUGGGCUAACGUAGACACUCUCGCAGUACCUCCGCCUUCAGGAAGGUCUUUUUAGCAGGGGCCUUACAGGUGCACGCUUCGGUCCUGGAGGCCUUAUCCUAACCUCUCCAUCAGCGCCACCCGUCUGGGGCCCGAAAGGAGGGAGCUUUCCCUCUGUCCUCCAGCCUUUGGACUGUCUCCAAACAAGCCAUUCGUUCACCAAAUACUUAUUAAGCACCUACCAUGUGCCUGACAAGGGAGAUGUAACGCCCAGUAAAGGCUCCAUUCCCCAUUUUACAGCUGGGGAAACUGAGUUACAGAGCUUUUCUGCACUGAGUCAUCAGGAGCAAAUGCUAGAUCAGAUAGGGUCUCUCUCUCUGCCACCCAGGCCAGAGUGCAGUUGACGCAGGGCAGGGGAGCCCCGAAGUGGAGCAUAGUGUGUCCGGAACUGGUGGGUUCUUGGUCUCACUGACUUCAAGAAUGAAGCCGUGGACCCUCACGGUUCAAGCGAUUCUCCUGCCUCAGCCUCC